Molecule: long non-coding RNA, 660 nt
Filed under: Ananas comosus (pineapple)
Lineage: Eukaryota; Viridiplantae; Streptophyta; Magnoliopsida; Poales; Bromeliaceae
Description: long non-coding RNA (ACOM_LNC017074)
Source: RNAcentral
CUCUUCUUCCCUUAUUGUCGAGAAAUUUUACACUAUCACACUUACACCACGUCAUUAAUAAUAAGUCAAUUAUAUUUCUUCUUUUCAAAUAAAAGUGUAAUAAUUUUUUUUUUUUAUAAUCAUGAUGGAACAUCUAUCUCUAAAAGAAAAUUUUUGAUUGAUUUGUUACGCCACGUCACCAAUAUAUUCGUUGCAUUCUAGAAUUUUUCCUUCUUGUCCUCUCUCUCUCUCUCUCUACUCUCUAGGAAUUAUUGCUUAAACCUAGUGCAGUCUUGCCUAGGAAUGCGCACGGGACGGAUUUCAAUCGGAAUGAAUUCUGAACAGUUGCGAAUUUUUAACGGAUCGAAACGAAUCAAAAGGAAAAAUACAUCUGUCGUCUCCAACUCUAUUUAUUUCAAGACGAAUUAUAUUUUCCUACAAUUUUGAUUCCAUUCGGGAUGGAUCGGCAUAGGAGCUCUACCAACCUAAAUCCAUUUACACUCCUAAUUUUGCCCUUUUAGCAAAUUCAUGUACCACUUUCUUCACUGCGCGCGUCAACCAGUUAAAAUUUUUUAUAAUAUUACGGAUGUCAAACAUAUUAAUUAACAAUAUAUAAAGAGAAUAUUCUAUAAUAUUAGUAAAUGUUUGUUAAUAAAUUCAUAUAAUCCGGUCAAAAUAUCU